This is a non-coding RNA of Stegodyphus mimosarum, 73 nucleotides long. The record is from Rfam. Lineage: Eukaryota; Metazoa; Arthropoda; Arachnida; Araneae; Eresidae.
GCCUUCGUGGUGAAAUGGUCAGCACACUGAGCCGGUAUUUCAGAGGUCCGUGGUUCGAUCCCCGGCGAAGGCA